Molecule: long non-coding RNA, 730 nt
Filed under: Daphnia magna
Lineage: Eukaryota; Metazoa; Arthropoda; Branchiopoda; Diplostraca; Daphniidae
Description: uncharacterized LOC123474039, transcript variant X1
Source: RNAcentral
GGUUUGGGGCUACUGCGUUGCGUAACGUACAAAAUGCGACCAUUACCACACAACUUCACUAGCAACUGACAGUGCGUUACACUUUUAUUAAUUUUUAGCAGAUAAAAACAUCUCAAGUCGCCUUUUAAAUUUACGGAAGCAAUCCAAUAGUGCAAAUUUAUCUUCCCGUCGAACUGGCAACACUUUCCAAGGCACACAUCAUAAUAAAGUAACGUGAUCUCGAUUAGUUCAUUUUUAAAACAUUCGUCGUGAACAGUUGACUCACUUUUGUUUCCCAACAAAGAUUUCCGACUUAUAUUUGAGUAUAUUGAAAAUAACUUGCCUAGUCAAAUUGUUGGGCAAUCCGUUAAAGAAAAAAAAAAGAAAACGAAAUGAGGGGUUUCCCCUUUUCCCCGGUCUUCCUAGCGUGUAAUGUCGGGAGAGAGUCUUUGUCACUGAACGAACAAUGCGAUGUCUGAUUCACAACGGCGUCUACAUGUCAAGAGAAAUAUUCUCAAGAUAUGGCGAGAGGAAAACGAAAAGUUUCAGCUAUUCCACCUGGCCUUCAAUAGGAUGUGAAUUUCAGGAGGAAAAAAAAAAUAUGCAAUGAGGGAUAUCUUUUGAGUACGUGCUCCAGCGAUGACCGCCGAUGUCGCCUUCCAGCCGAUACCUUCGAUUUAUUAUCCGGUGAGCCAAAGAGUGUCUCAUGAUGCAUGGAAAAGGUUAUACACAGACGACACAUCCCCCAAUA